RNAcentral lists this transfer RNA (76 nucleotides) under Aeromonas salmonicida. Its description in RNAcentral is "tRNA-Glu". It matches the Rfam family "tRNA". From Rfam's summary of the family: Transfer RNA (tRNA) molecules are approximately 80 nucleotides in length. Their secondary structure includes four short double-helical elements and three loops (D, anti-codon, and T loops). Further hydrogen bonds mediate the characteristic L-shaped molecular structure. tRNAs have two regions of fundamental functional importance: the anti-codon, which is responsible for specific mRNA codon recognition, and the 3' end, to which the tRNAs corresponding amino acid is attached (by aminoacyl-tRNA synthetases). tRNAs cope with the degeneracy of the genetic code in two manners: having more than one tRNA (with a specific anti-codon) for a particular amino acid; and 'wobble' base-pairing, i.e. permitting non-standard base-pairing at the 3rd anti-codon position. The record is from RNAcentral. Lineage: Bacteria; Pseudomonadati; Pseudomonadota; Gammaproteobacteria; Aeromonadales; Aeromonadaceae.
GUCCCCUUCGUCUAGAGGCCUAGGACACCGCCCUUUCACGGCGGUAACAAGGGUUCCGAACCCCUAGGGGACGCCA